UUUCAACGUGUUGAUUUUCUUGGCUAGC
Molecule: small RNA, 28 nt
Filed under: Bombyx mori (domestic silkworm)
Lineage: Eukaryota; Metazoa; Arthropoda; Insecta; Lepidoptera; Bombycidae
Description: ovarian small RNA-38263
Source: RNAcentral